CACAAUCUCUUUGUUUGUUGAAAACUCACUUUCACUCAUCAAUUCUCUUUCAUUUUCAACAACACUUGUUUCUCGCACUCUUUCUUUUCUUUCUCCAAUCUUUUUCUCUUUUUCAAUUUUUGUUUCUUUUUCGGUUUCUUUUUCUCUCGUCACUCUUUUUCUUCUCUCAACUUUAUUACAAAAUGGAGAUAAUACAAAAGAAUCAGAACAAUAGACUUUUCGUUUGAAAGAAGUGGAAGAAUCUUCAUAAGAGUCACAAUCAACUCUUCGUGAAUAAACCUCCAUGGAUGAGUUCUUAUAUGAAACACAUUCACUUCUUCGUAAGGAUUUUUCCUUAGAU
Molecule: long non-coding RNA, 340 nt
Filed under: Gossypium raimondii (Peruvian cotton)
Lineage: Eukaryota; Viridiplantae; Streptophyta; Magnoliopsida; Malvales; Malvaceae
Description: long non-coding RNA (GRAI_LNC007412)
Source: RNAcentral